Pelobates cultripes (western spadefoot toad) is the source of this 252-nucleotide non-coding RNA. The record is from the annotation of a GenBank genome assembly. Lineage: Eukaryota; Metazoa; Chordata; Amphibia; Anura; Pelobatidae.
CCAUAUAUAGCAGUAGGCUUCCCUACAGAAAAAAACAAACAAGUCUAAUCUUCAGUUUUGCAGAUUGUUAAGAGAAACAAAAGACAAUAUUUCAGUCUUCCACCACCCUGCCUAAAAUCUUACAUUCAGGAAGAGAGAUAACAUUAACCCUUUCCUUCAGCUUGCAUUGUGGAUGUGCUGGACUAAUUUAACCCUUGCAGGCUGCAUGGGAACCUGGGCUUGCUGAGCACUGAGUACAUGGACCAGAUCCUG